CAACACAUUCCCCAAAAAGUUGGGACGAGGGCAAUUUAGCGGUAGUAAUGAGGUAGAAUAAUUAAAUAAUUAUGUGAUUUGAAACUAGUGAUGUCAACAGGUUAUUGUAAUUAUGAUUUGGUACAAAAGCAGCAUCCAGGAAAGGCCUAGUCCUUUAGGAGCAAAGAUGCGUGCGCAAAUUAUUGAAAUGUUUAAAAACAAUGUUUCUCAAAGAAAGAUAGGAAGGGAUUUGGACAUUUCACCCUCCACGGUGCAUAACAUAAUUAAAAGAUUCAAGGAAUCUGGAGGAAUUUCAGUGCGUAAAGGGCAAGGGCCCAAGCCUAAGCUGAAUAACCGUGAUCUCCGAUCCCUCAGACGGCACUGCAUCAAGAACCGUCAUUCAUCUAUAAGCGAUAUAACCACAUGGGCUCAGGAUUAUGUUGGCAAACCUUUGUCAAGCACUACAAUACGUAGUUACAUCCACAAAUGCCAGUUUACUUUACUGUGCCAAAAGGAAGCCAUAUGUUAACCAUGUCCAGAAGCACUGUCGACUUCUCUGGGCUCGGAGGCAUCUGGGAUGGACCAUCACACAGUGGAAAGGAGUAUUGUGUCAGACAAAUCAGUAUUUAAGGUCUUUUUUUAAAGAAAUGGACGCCGUGUGCUCCAGACCGAAGAAGAAAAGGACCAUCUGUUACGUUAACAGCAAGCAGUUACAGUUAGAAUUCUGGGUUUCCUCAGUGUCACUCACAUUACAUCACUGACUAGAAUGUUGUGAGAAUUCUACUUUGACCUGAGAAUUCUACUUUGAACUUUAAAAUUCUACUUUGACAUAGAACUCUUUCAGUUGCACCUGGCUGAGACAGAGACAACAUUACAAAGCGCUUGCUGCCAACAAUUUCACCCUAUAUUGAUUAUUGAUUGUUGAUUUUUGACUUGAUUGACUACCUUAUAUAUUUAAUUGAUUUAUUUAGUUUGAUUGCUUGUUUGUAAUAUUUACUGGGAGUUUUUUUUUGACGGUAAGAGAUUUUUAAGAGGUGAGUAAAAUUUAGCAAAAAAAGGAUUUGUUAGCAGGACAUUAGAGAUGAGGACGAACAGUAGCUACUCUGGCAGCGAGGACAAGAUGAGAAGACAGAUGAGCUGGGCCGAGCAAGUCGACAUCGCUUACCCCCUGGAUGAGUGCUGGAGUGAGAGCUGCCUGACAGAUCCCCAUGUCUGCAUGGAGGACCACCUCAUACCCAGGAAGAGGUCAGGAGAGAGGAGGCCUAAGCACGUCACCUUUGACCUGAGUUGGCUGGACACCGUUGGGCCGGAUUGGCUCAGGAACGCAGAGGAGCUGACCCCAAAGGGGCAAAUAGACAUACUAUCAAGUCUCCUGUAUACGGGACAUCCCAGCACUCUGUUCACAAGAGUUGUUAACAGCAGACAGAAUGUUGGAGGGUACUGCUAUGUCCAUUCCACAGUUCCACCUGUCUUCUGUACAUGAGGAUAUAGGAGGAGAGGGGAGGGGAGGGACAGAACAUAUCCAUAUGUGAAAAAUAUGAGCACAUAGUAUUUAUACUGUAUGUUUCUAAACUACAAUUGAAUGCACUUAUGUACUCACAAGGGGGUGGGGGUAUGGAUGGUCAUCCUUGAAAUCUUUUAUUUAUUAUUUUAUUUAUUU
Molecule: long non-coding RNA, 1639 nt
Organism: Clupea harengus (Atlantic herring)
Lineage: Eukaryota; Metazoa; Chordata; Actinopteri; Clupeiformes; Clupeidae
Source: Ensembl